This 470-nucleotide ribosomal RNA is filed under the name uncultured Sphingomonas sp. Its description in RNAcentral is "bacterial SSU rRNA". It matches the Rfam family "Bacterial small subunit ribosomal RNA", at positions 9 to 525 of the family's 1533-position model. Lineage: Bacteria; Pseudomonadati; Pseudomonadota; Alphaproteobacteria; Sphingomonadales; Sphingomonadaceae. The record is from RNAcentral.
GAGUUUGAUUCUGGCUCAGAAUGAACGCUGGCGGCAUGCCUAACACAUGCAAGUCGAACGAAGGCUUCGGCCUUAGUGGCGCACGGGUGCGUAACGCGUGGGAAUCUGCCCUCAGGUUCGGAAUAACAGCGAGAAAUUGCUGCUAAUACCGGAUGAUAUCGCGAGAUCAAAGAUUUAUCGCCUGAGGAUGAGCCCGCGUAGGAUUAGCUAGUUGGUGUGGUAAAGGCGCACCAAGGCGACGAUCCUUAGCUGGUCUGAGAGGAUGAUCAGCCACACUGGGACUGAGACACGGCCCAGACUCCUACGGGAGGCAGCAGUGGGGAAUAUUGGACAAUGGGCGAAAGCCUGAUCCAGCAAUGCCGCGUGAGUGAUGAAGGCCUUAGGGUUGUAAAGCUCUUUUACCCGGGAUGAUAAUGACAGUACCGGGAGAAUAAGCUCCGGCUAACUCCGUGCCAGCAGCCGCGGUAAUA